AGGCCCCGGGGUGUCACACGUGAGAUUGCAAAUCUCAAGAGGCAGGUUAAAGCCUGCCGGGGCUUC
RNAcentral lists this transfer RNA (66 nucleotides) under Tepuihyla edelcae (white-lipped bog-frog). Its description in RNAcentral is "tRNA-Cys". The record is from RNAcentral. Lineage: Eukaryota; Metazoa; Chordata; Amphibia; Anura; Hylidae.